Long non-coding RNA from Temnothorax curvispinosus, 441 nucleotides. RefSeq lists it as uncharacterized. Lineage: Eukaryota; Metazoa; Arthropoda; Insecta; Hymenoptera; Formicidae. The record is from RefSeq and is a predicted model, not a curated record. The transcript has 3 exons.
AUGCACCAAUGAUUCUGUAUAUAAGCUGAGCGAUCACUGAACUGAUUCACUUUGAAUUUCACUGAGCUGACUACAGGAAAUCUCUCAAGCAAUAAAUCGAAAAUGGGAAAAUUCAUCGUGCUUCUUUGCUUUACGCUUCUCGCAAUGACUUCGGUCAUGACCUGCAUGUGGGAAGGAUGGAGUUGCUUUCAUCCCUCCACGGUAAAGUGUUGCACGGGACUUGUGUGUGAUCCAAAUUAUUAUCGUUGCGUCAAACCAUGGAGAUCCGCAGACCCAGCAGGCGCAGGAGUAGAAUGGCCACAAAAUAAACCUGCCCCUGCCUAAUAAUCAUAAAUGGUAGUUCGACCUGGACUUUGUUGCGUAGAACUAUGAUUUAAUCUUGAUUGAUUUAAAAAUAUGUGAAAAUUUACACGAAAAUAUACACUUGCUUAAUAAUUAUUA